CCCUCGGGUCCGGCCUUGGAGGUCGUGUUAAUCUCACUCGCGCUUACCAACAGGCCCUAGAGGCCUCUGUGGCUCAGAACUUCCCUGACAAUGGCUGCAUCUCCUGUAUGUGCCAUAACAAUGACAUGCUCUACAGCUCGAAGCAAACUGCAGUAGUCCGUGCCUCUGACGAUUUCUACCCACGAGACCCAGCAUCACACACCAUCCACAUCUCCUCCGUCGCCUACAACAGUCUG
This 236-nucleotide unclassified non-coding RNA is filed under the name Hevea brasiliensis (rubber tree). Lineage: Eukaryota; Viridiplantae; Streptophyta; Magnoliopsida; Malpighiales; Euphorbiaceae. The record is from RNAcentral.